RNAcentral lists this non-coding RNA (173 nucleotides) under Actinoplanes regularis. Its description in RNAcentral is "FMN sequence". It matches the Rfam family "FMN riboswitch aptamer (RFN element)". From Rfam's summary of the family: The RFN element is a highly conserved domain that is found frequently in the 5'-untranslated regions of prokaryotic mRNAs that encode for flavin mononucleotide (FMN) biosynthesis and transport proteins. This element is a metabolite-dependent riboswitch that directly binds FMN in the absence of proteins. Lineage: Bacteria; Bacillati; Actinomycetota; Actinomycetes; Micromonosporales; Micromonosporaceae. The record is from Rfam by way of RNAcentral.
ACGCGCUGGCGGGACUCGGUGAAAUUCCGAACCGGCGGUGAUCCGCUGCGAAAGCAGCGGUAAGCCCGCGACCCGGACGCCUCCUAGGCGGCCGGUGGACCUGGUGAGACUCCAGGGCCGACGGUUGAUCGGGCGAAAGCUCGGUCAGACAGUCCGGAUGGGAGACAGCGCGC